CCUCUUUGCGCUCGGUCUUUUCCAGAAUAAAGACCUCUCCUUUAUUUAUAGGUGAGGAAAGAAACUAUGCGGACUUCAAUCAGUUUGAAAUCCGACGAACUUCAUUUGAUUUAGAAUCUGGAAGCUUAUAGAAGUCAGAACUUAACUGAUUUUAAGUUUGAUUUUUUAUAGCACAGUGUCAGGAAUCUUCUUGAAGAUGAGCA
Molecule: long non-coding RNA, 203 nt
Filed under: Elaeis guineensis (African oil palm)
Lineage: Eukaryota; Viridiplantae; Streptophyta; Magnoliopsida; Arecales; Arecaceae
Description: long non-coding RNA (EGUI_LNC070450)
Source: RNAcentral